This 468-nucleotide ribosomal RNA is filed under the name uncultured bacterium. RNAcentral's name for it is "partial 16S ribosomal RNA". It matches the Rfam family "Bacterial small subunit ribosomal RNA", at positions 28 to 507 of the family's 1533-position model. The record is from RNAcentral.
GACGAACGCUGGCGGCGUGCUUAACACAUGCAAGUCGAACGGAAAGGCCCUGCUUUUGUGGGGUGCUCGAGUGGCGAACGGGUGAGUAACACGUGAGUAACCUGCCCUUGUCUUUGGGAUAACUUCAGGAAACUGGGGCUAAUACCGGAUAGGAGCUCCUGUUGCAUGGUGGGGGUUGGAAAUUUUCGGCGGUUGGGGAUGGACUCGCGGCUUAUCAGCUUGUUGGUGGGGUAGUGGCUUACCAAGGCUUUGACGGGUAGCCGGCCUGAGAGGGUGACCGGCCACAUUGGGACUGAGAUACGGCCCAGACUCCUACGGGAGGCAGCAGUGGGGAAUAUUGCACAAUGGGCGGAAGCCUGAUGCAGCAACGCCGCGUGCGGGAUGACGGCCUUCGGGUUGUAAACCGCUUUCGCCUGUGACGAAGCGUGAGUGACGGUAAUGGGUAAAGAAGCACCGGCUAACUACGUG